RNAcentral lists this ribosomal RNA (261 nucleotides) under uncultured archaeon. RNAcentral's name for it is "partial 16S ribosomal RNA". It matches the Rfam family "Archaeal small subunit ribosomal RNA", at positions 748 to 1009 of the family's 1478-position model. The record is from RNAcentral.
UAGCCGUAAACGAUACUCGCUAGGUGUCGGCCACGGUGCGACCGUUGUCGGUGCCGUAGGGAAGCCGUGAAGCGAGCCACCUGGGAAGUACGGCCGCAAGGCUGAAACUUAAAGGAAUUGGCGGGGGAGCACAACAACGGGUGGAGCUUGCGGUUUAAUUGGAUUCAACGCCGGAAAUCUUACCGGGACCGACAGCAACAUGAAGGCCAAGUUGAAGACUUUGCCGGAUUAGCUGAGAGGUGGUGCAUGGCGUAGUCGUGU